RNAcentral lists this ribosomal RNA (939 nucleotides) under uncultured Alphaproteobacteria bacterium. RNAcentral describes it as "bacterial SSU rRNA". It matches the Rfam family "Bacterial small subunit ribosomal RNA", at positions 9 to 997 of the family's 1533-position model. Lineage: Bacteria; Pseudomonadati; Pseudomonadota; Alphaproteobacteria. The record is from RNAcentral.
GAGUUUGAUCAUGGCGCAGAACGUACGCUGGCGGCACGCUAACACAUGCAAGUCGAACGAAGUAGCAAUACUUAGUGGCAGACGGGUGAGUAACAUGUAGGUAUCUGCCCUUUGGCCUGGAAUAACACGAGGAAACUUGUGCUAAUACCGGAUAAGUCUUUACGGAGAAAGCUUUAUGCACCAUUGGAUGAGCCUGCACUUGAUUAGUUUGUUGGUGGGGUAAUGGCCUACCAAGACUGUGAUCAAUAGCUGAUUUGAGAGGAUGAUCAGCCACAUUGGGACUGAGACACGGCCCAAACUCCUACGGGAGGCAGCAGUGGGGAAUCUUGCACAAUGGAGGAAACUCUGAUGCAGCGAUGCCGCGUGAGUGAAGAAGGCCCUUGGGUUGUAAAGCUCUUUCGUCGGGGAAGAAAAUGACUGUACCCGAAUAAGAAGGUCCGGCUAACUUCGUGCCAGCAGCCGCGGUAAUACGAAGGGACCUAGCGUAGUUCGGAAUUACUGGGCUUAAAGAGUUCGUAGGUGGUUGAAAAAGUUGGUGGUGAAAUCCCAGAGCUUAACUCUGGAACUGCCAUCAAAACUUUUCAGCUAGAGUAUGAUAGAGGAAAGCAGAAUUUCUAGUGUAGAGGUGAAAUUCGUAGAUAUUAGAAAGAAUACCAAUUGCGAAGGCAGCUUUCUGGAUCAUUACUGACACUGAGGAACGAAAGCAUGGGUAGCGAAGAGGAUUAGAUACCCUCGUAGUCCAUGCCGUAAACGAUGUGUGUUAGACGUUGGAAAUUUAUUUUCAGUGUCGCAGCGAAAGCGAUAAACACACCGCCUGGGGAGUACGACCGCAAGGUUAAAACUCAAAUGAAUUGACGGGGACCCGCACAAGUAGUGGAGCAUGUGGUUUAAUUCGAAGAUACGCGCAGAACCUUACCAACACUUGACAUGUACCGAAUU